This is a long non-coding RNA of Notolabrus celidotus (New Zealand spotty), 572 nucleotides long. RefSeq lists it as uncharacterized. NCBI's taxonomy places the organism in Eukaryota, Metazoa, Chordata, Actinopteri, Labriformes, Labridae. The record is from RefSeq and is a predicted model, not a curated record. The transcript has 3 exons.
CAGGAAUCAUCAAAUAUAGAUGAAAAACAUGACUUAACAUAGAUCACAUGUCCCAGACUCUGUGACUGUCUCCCCAGGUGCUGCAGUGUUCCAGGUUUUGUGAGACUGCCUGCUUGCUUUACUGUGAGAAAUGAUCUUUACAGGCUCGACAUACAGAAUGUUUGGCAUUGCAUAUAAAAUAAGUCCAUGUUUCACUGCAGAAACACUUCCACGUGGAUCUGAAGGCCAAAGCCCUUCAAGGUCAUUUAAAAGACUUGAAGCUGCAGCAUGACAGCAGAGGAGAGCUCCACUUUGUAGAGCAGGAAUAUAUUAUCUCUUCUGCUGCCACAGUUUAAGAGCAAAUAACAAAUUCCAACCCCCCCAACCCGAGCUGCCGCUAUCAUCAAGGGAAAUCAAGAGCCGGGCGCAGGAUCUUUCCUCAACUGAUCCGACUGUGACAUAGCUGAGUCACGUCUCACUGUUGUGGAAUAAAAGGUGGAAGAUGGAGGAAGUCAUCCAUCGAAAGGCCUGCAGUGGGGCUCUUUCUGUGACUCUGCAGGUUAUACUGCUGCGAUCCAUCCUGCAUCUAACAG